RNAcentral lists this long non-coding RNA (1270 nucleotides) under Mus musculus (house mouse). RNAcentral's name for it is "long non-coding RNA chr11:95768886-95770156". Lineage: Eukaryota; Metazoa; Chordata; Mammalia; Rodentia; Muridae. The record is from RNAcentral.
ACUGUAGCACAGAGACCUGAGUACCUGGCCGUCUGAUCUCCUACUGUCUACGCAGCUUUACUCUCAUCACUCUGCUCUCGAGUGCCUUCAAAAAAGCCCAUGUCCUGGAGCCUCUGUCCCGGUCUGAAUCCUACCUCUGAUUGAGUCGUUCUCCUGAGCAUCGGAAUUCACCCUCUUCCCAAGGGCUUAACUACAAACUCUAACACCUGGCUAGGAAUUGUGAACACAGUUGUGUAUUGUUGCCCUGUCAUUCACGGCAGGGUCACCUUUGUAGCUUCUUUGUAUCUUAUUCCCCCACCCACACCACUUCUGGACUAGAGCCAUUUGUCCUUCACCUUCUAGUCUUUCACCACAGACCGACGGUUCCCUUAAAAAUCAAAGGUCACCCAGUGCAUCUCUGGGUCAUCUUUUUCUCAUCUGAUGAAGUCUUCCUGAGUACCUACCCUUCAAACUAAAGGAGCGCGAGCUGCCGCUGGGGCGCACAUAGCAUCGCGUAACACUUGGUUCUUCCAGUGGCUAGCCUAGUCAUAGGAGGAGAAAAGUGCUCUCUGGGGUUAACAAAUUCCUUUCUUGAUUUUUGAUCAGCCCCUCUCUCUCAUCAGCCACCUGUCCCCCUUGUAAGCCCCAUUACGUCAUUUACAAAGUGUGAUUGAUGUCUAAUGUAUGAAAGACGGAGGAAAAAGGAAGCUGAUGUGUGCUCUGUGUGUAGUAUGUGCACUUCACUGUAAAGAUUACUUUAGCAACUGGCUGGUCUCUCGUGUCCCAAAUUAAAGUUUGUGCUGUGUAAUGGGUUGAUAGUUCCCUCCUAAAGCAAAAACAGAUGAGCUCUUUCGGUGAGGAAACAGGAUUUUUUUUUUUUUUUUUUUUUAGGCAAAUGAACACUAAUUAGAGUAUCCUGACCUGAGUCAAAAGCUUUGCUUUCUGACUUACAGUCUCUUGCAUCUUUCCUUCCAGUUAUUAGUACCCAGGCACCCAAGACUGAUUGAUGGUCGCACACCGUGGGAGACUUGAAAGGCGGCUGUUGAUAAAUUUUUCAUCCUUUUUUUUGUCUGUGAACAGACAGGAUGCCAGUGGGUGGGACAAUACCAAAUUGUGAGAAUUGGGUUGAAAAUACAGAAGUCAAGACAUUGGAAUGCCCCACUGGCUGUUUGGAUUGAGAGCGGCAUGCACACUGGAAGAGGUAGAGUCUGUGGUGCAGAAAUCAUUCCCAAGUGUCUAAAGGACCCUCCAUGUUUGCCGCUGCGGUCAGUCUUGGGAACUGGGUGCUUUG